Molecule: ribosomal RNA, 480 nt
Filed under: uncultured bacterium
Lineage: Bacteria
Description: partial 16S ribosomal RNA
Rfam family: Bacterial small subunit ribosomal RNA
Source: RNAcentral
AUUGAACGCUGGCGGCAUGCCUUACACAUGCAAGUCGAGCGGUAACAGGUCUUCGGAUGCUGACGAGUGGCGAACGGGUGAGUAAUACAUCGGAACGUGCCCGAUCGUGGGGGAUAACGAGGCGAAAGCUUUGCUAAUACCGCAUACGAUCUACGGAUGAAAGCGGGGGAUCUUCGGACCUCGCGCGGACGGAGCGGCCGAUGGCAGAUUAGGUAGUUGGUGGGAUAAAAGCUUACCAAGCCGACGAUCUGUAGCUGGUCUGAGAGGAUGAUCAGCCACACUGGGACUGAGACACGGCCCAGACUCCUACGGGAGGCAGCAGCGGGGAAUUUUGGACGAUGGGCGAAAGCCUGAUCCAGCCAUGCCGCGUGCAGGAUGAAGGCCUUUGGGUUGUAAACUGCUUUUGUACGGAACGAAAAGCCUCUUUCUAAUAAAGAGGGGUCAUGACGGUACCGUAAGAAUAAGCACCGGCUAACUACG